CCGCCCAUUUCAUUGUUCAGAAACUGCCUGCAUAACGGAUUGAUGAUUUUAAUCCGA
Non-coding RNA from Caenorhabditis elegans, 57 nucleotides. Lineage: Eukaryota; Metazoa; Nematoda; Chromadorea; Rhabditida; Rhabditidae. The record is from Ensembl.